This is a non-coding RNA of Mycena polygramma, 94 nucleotides long. The record is from the annotation of a GenBank genome assembly. Lineage: Eukaryota; Fungi; Basidiomycota; Agaricomycetes; Agaricales; Mycenaceae.
GGGCUGAUAGUGUAGUUGGUUAUCGCGCCCGCUUCGCAGGGCUUACGUAAGCAGGGCAUGCGGGAGGUGCUGGGUUCAAUUCCCAGUCAGUCCA